Helicoverpa armigera (cotton bollworm) is the source of this 1968-nucleotide long non-coding RNA. RefSeq lists it as uncharacterized. The transcript is spliced from 3 exons. The record is from RefSeq and is a predicted model, not a curated record. Lineage: Eukaryota; Metazoa; Arthropoda; Insecta; Lepidoptera; Noctuidae.
GUGCUACCAUGGCAGAUCGAUUCCAAAAUCCUAUUACCCACAUUUCAUUAAAUUUAUAUUUUCCAACUACAUUCUCAAAUCAAAAUCCUUUAGCCGGUCGCGGCUUAUCAUUGAAUUUAUGCCUUUUCACUUCAAUAAAAACGUUUUAAACGAAAUUUGUUCGAUAUCGAAUAAAAUGUACUUUUUUCUUUGAAACUGCAACGUAUGGGAAGUAUGCUGCGGUUCUUCUUACUUCUCAGUCUGAUGGUAUGUGCGUUGGUGUUAGCAAAACGCAGACAACAUAAAAAUAAGGAUGACUUGGGUGGGCGCUUGAUAACUGCCUUGAGGAAUGACGUGAACAUCGAUCUCUCGGCUGACGAGGAGUAUGAGGACCUGCGGGCAGAACUCCUCGCUUACCACUCAGCACUCGCUUCCAUCGCUCCUACUCGUAGGUCGAUGAAAACGACGCCAUGUUGGCAACUGGGCGGUAUUUGCGUCGACCAACAGAUGUGUGAGGGCCAGCGCUUCUUAACCCAAGUAAAUGGAUGCAGAAAUAAUUUAGAAGUAUGUUGCUUCAAGUGGAACAACUUCCACGUCAGAGACUUAAAAGACAAGGGACUCGAUACUUUAGGUCUGCCCUGGAGUAGACAACAAGAUUUUGGUGGCAAAGGUAUUGUACCAAAAAUGAAGAUAGUCCAAACGAAAAAGAAGAGGUCCAAAAGAAAACGUGAAGAUGAUGACGCCCAAAUUGAUGAAAUACCACAGUACCGUAAGAAAUCGCCUCUGGUCGUUAUAGUACAGACAUAGAAGAACUUCAACCAAGCAAACUAUUCACUUAUGUUCUAUUUAUUUGAUUUUACGUUACUUGAAAGAUUCCAUAUUAAUUCGUGUUGUAAAAUACUUCAACCAAAACAUUAGUUGGCUUAUCGAAAGUACUUUCUUUGAUUAAUUAAAAAGUUAAUGAAACAAUAUGAUUUAUAGUUUUAUUUGGUUAUUUUUUGAAAACAUGUCACUGUUGAUAAGAUGUGUUAUUAUCGCUUUAGUUGUUACAAAUGUACUCGGCAACAAUAAAAACGGUAACGGAAAGAGCAAUGGAAAUGGCAACGGAAAGAGCAAUGGAAAUGGCAAUGGAAAGACUAACGGAAAUGGAAAGACUAAUGGAAAUGGCAAUGGAAAGACUAAUGGAAAUGGCAAUGGACAUAGCAAUGGAAAUGGCAAUGGACAUAACGCUGGAAAUGGCAAUGGACAUAUCGCUGGACUUACCCCUGGAAAUGGCAACGGACAGGGAAAUGGAAAUGGGAAUGGGCAUGGGAGCUAUGCUCAACCUCAGAUAUCUAGCUCUUUCAAAGACGUAUUCCUCCCUGGUUUAGGCAAGAAACCAACACUCGGAACAACUAGGUCGACUUGCUGGGCUCGCGGUGGCAUAUGUGUGGACAUCAGACAAUGUCCCUCGCUUCACAUGGAUGUCGGAGUGGCUGGGUGCUCUUGGGGGUACAAAGUCUGCUGCAAGGUCCAUAUACUCGGCGCCCCCACAGUCGGUAGCCAACGAAGAUACGCAGUUCCAGUUAUAAAUAACCUAGAUGAACUAGGAGCUUCUUUGGAAAUAAUCGCUCUAAGGAACUCGAUGCUACUGUCCAGCUGGCAAUCAAAAAAUGACGAUAUUCACUUAGAUGAAUUGCUCAACUAAAUAAAAAAAUAUUUUUGCUAGGCAUUUUCCCUAUACUGAUAAAUUGUUAUAAUAAUAAAUAGUUUGUGUCGCUGGUAGUAUCCAGUAGGCGUCUCAAAUAUGAUAAGGGUGUACGGACACCUUCAUUAAUUGGAUACAGUCCUGGCAAACAUAACGCUUGACUAAGGGAGCUCCCAAUUUAUGCAGUUGCCGUUACCUCAGUCUGCCCCGGGGAAAACGGACUUGUUGUUAUGUUAUGCAAAUUCCUUUUAACAACGAAACACACAUUACAAGUAUGUUUGGCCACUAAAUCGAGUCAUGUU